CCCCCCCCCCCCCCCCCCCCCCAACAACCAAGUUUGGGGUUGAAACGGUAUGGGUCAUUUCUUCGGUCUUCCCCUUUCGGCCCCGGCACCAAGCGAGCUGCGGUUCUCCCCGAAAGUUCAGACCACCGAGUGCCCGGUUUGACCGCUCUUGCUCCAGUCGUGGCCCAUGCCCGCUGCGGACAACAUGUGGACGAGGCGGAGGAAGGUGGACAAGACACAACUAAUGUCCCGGCGGUGAUGACACCGGUGCUACUCAUCGGGAAGACGCUCGGGAGGAGUGGGCGACAGAUAGCAGCAGAAGACAGUGCAAGUGAAAGCUGAAGGCCACCAUGGCCACGGUGCCCUGUAACAUAACGACCUCACCAGGACAGUCAAGGUACGUCCUUUUAUUCUGAGGAUUUGCUGCAGUUCAGUGAGCUAGGCUGCUCCGAAAAUACCUGCAAACCUGUGGUCUCCAUCAUGAACAAAGAAAAGGUUAACAGCACUGAAUAAGUGAUGUACAUUACAAGGAUGAUGCGAGUUGCAUGCAAAAGGCAAAUCUGCCCCGAGUGACAAUGGGCAGUGUGCCACAGCCAACAUUGCGUGUAGAAAGGAACUGCAGAUGCUGGUUUGCACUGAAGACAGACACAUAAUGCUGGAGUAACUCAGUGGGACGGGCAGCGUCUCUCUCUGGAGAGAAGGAACGGAUGACAUUUCUGGUCGAGACCCUUCUUCAGACUGAACAACAUCACCUUUUGAGUACAUAUAUUUUGCUGAUAUCUCUGGUUUUCAACUUUUUCUUGGUCUUUAUUUUCAAUCAAAUAUCAAAGGCGUGUAUUUUACACAUGGAGCUAAUAAUGUAAUACAGUGUAAGUUUUAUCUGCCGUGUGAUCAACUGAAGAGAAAUGUUGCCUUGUCACAGAAUAAAAGUGAUUCAAGUGGCCAACUCCUUCUGCGCAAAAGUCACCUUGUUCUUUACAACAUUUUAAUAACGUCUUACUUUUAAUUUAUUUUGUAAAAUACCAUUUGCAGUCCAAAAGUAUAAAAUAUUUUAAGGUUACAAAAAGGUCUGAUAUGGUAGUGAGA
Molecule: long non-coding RNA, 1065 nt
Organism: Leucoraja erinaceus (little skate)
Lineage: Eukaryota; Metazoa; Chordata; Chondrichthyes; Rajiformes; Rajidae
Exons: 3
Source: RefSeq, a predicted model, not a curated record